GCUCGGUUAGCUCAGACGGUAGAGCAUUAGACUUCAAAUCGGAGCGUCCGAGGUUCAAGUCCUUAAUCGCGCC
Molecule: non-coding RNA, 73 nt
Organism: Biomphalaria glabrata
Lineage: Eukaryota; Metazoa; Mollusca; Gastropoda; Planorbidae
Source: Rfam